UAAAAACAUAACAGCAAGCCAAUGCACAAUUCUGAGUCAGGGAGACUAAGUGCAGCAUGCCGAUGACCUCAGGCUGAGUUGUUCAGUAUGACAAGUCUAGGUUUUCAAACUUAAAAGAAAACCCCAACUACUACUCAUGCAAUUAAUGGAAUUCACAGAUGCAAACACUGAAGUGCCUAAUUCUCCCACGCUAUCGGAAAGUUACCAUCUCGCACCUUUAAACACUUUCAGCGGAGGUAGAACCCGGCCUGGUAUCUGAUGUUCGAAGUUAAGGAAGACCGAGAUUAGCUCAGAGUCCUGCUGAGUGCCAUACUGUGGAAUUCAGUAACCUGUACACACGGAGAGCCAUCUGUCAGUCGCUGAGAAGGGAUCCACAUUUCACCAUAGUUUAGACAGCACUGGUCAUA
Molecule: long non-coding RNA, 407 nt
Organism: Rattus norvegicus (Norway rat)
Lineage: Eukaryota; Metazoa; Chordata; Mammalia; Rodentia; Muridae
Source: RefSeq, a predicted model, not a curated record